AGUUGUCAUAUCCUAGACAGGCUGUCACGAUUUCCGUGCAGCGCCAAACGCCAACCACUCCGACAGCAGCAGCAGGUUCCAGCUGUGGUAGUUGCCGGACAAAUUCUUGGCUCUCCAUUUUAGAAUAUAAAUUAGUUGGCAUAGGAACACACGUCCCUAGGUUGCGUGCAUUGCGCCGGGUUCGCCUCUCACUCCAGUUUUAUGCGAGUAUCUGUCCAACCUUGAACUUGC
Molecule: long non-coding RNA, 231 nt
Filed under: Volvox carteri
Lineage: Eukaryota; Viridiplantae; Chlorophyta; Chlorophyceae; Chlamydomonadales; Volvocaceae
Description: long non-coding RNA (VCAR_LNC002368)
Source: RNAcentral